AAUGGUAUAGCUCAGUGGCACAAGUGCCUGCUUGGCAAGCACAAGGUCCUGAGUUCGAUUCUUGAUACUAUUA
Molecule: transfer RNA, 73 nt
Filed under: Cavia porcellus (domestic guinea pig)
Lineage: Eukaryota; Metazoa; Chordata; Mammalia; Rodentia; Caviidae
Rfam family: tRNA
About the family: Transfer RNA (tRNA) molecules are approximately 80 nucleotides in length. Their secondary structure includes four short double-helical elements and three loops (D, anti-codon, and T loops).
Source: Rfam by way of RNAcentral